RNAcentral lists this ribosomal RNA (253 nucleotides) under uncultured bacterium. Its description in RNAcentral is "partial 16S ribosomal RNA". It matches the Rfam family "Bacterial small subunit ribosomal RNA", at positions 524 to 776 of the family's 1533-position model. The record is from RNAcentral.
UACAGAGGCCUCGAGCGUUAGGCGGAAUCACUGGGCUUAAAGCGUGUGUAGGCGGACUUCUAAGUACCUUGUGAAAUCCCACGGCUCAACCGUGGAACUGCUCGGUAUACUGGUUGUCUUGAGCCAUCUAGGGGCGAGCGGAACAAGUGGUGGAGCGGUGAAAUGCGUAGAUAUCACGUGGAACGCCAACGGUGAAAACAGCUCGCUGGGGAUGUGCUGACGCUGAGACACGAAAGCCAGGGGAGCGAACGGG